GUGCAGAAGAGGACAGUGGAACUCCAUGUGUAGCGGUGGAAUGCGUAGAUAUAUGGAAGAACACCAGUGGCGAAGGCGGCUGUCUAGUCUGUAACUGACGCUGAGGCUCGAAAGCAUGGGUAGCGAACAGGAUUAGAUACCCUGGUAGUCCAUGCCGUAAACGAUGAGUGCUAAGUGUUGGAGGGUUUCCCCCUUCAGUGCUGCAGCUAACGCAUUAAGCACUCCGCCUGGGGAGUACGACCGCAAGGUUGAAACUCAAAGGAAUUGACGGGGGCCCGCACAAGCGGUGGAGCAUGUGGUUUAAUUCGAAGCUACGCGAAGAACCUUACCAGGUCUUGACAUCUUCUGCCAAUCUUAGAGAUAAGACGUUCCCUUCGGGGACAGAAUGACAGGUGGUGCAUGGUUGUCGUCAGCUCGUGUCGUGAGAUGUUGGGUUAAGUCCCGCAACGAGCGCAACCCUUAUUAUCAGUUGCCAGCAUUCAGUUGGGCACUCUGGUGAGACUGCCGGUGACAAACCGGAGGAAGGUGGGGAUGACGUCAAAUCAUCAUGCCCCUUAUGACCUGGGCUACACACGUGCUACAAUGGACGGUACAACGAGUCGCGAAGUCGUGAGGCUAAGCUAAUCUCUUAAAGCCGUUCUCAGUUCGGAUUGUAGGCUGCAACUCGCCUACAUGAAGUUGGAAUCGCUAGUAAUCGCGGAUCAGCAUGCCGCGGUGAAUACGUUCCCGGGCCUUGUACACACCGCCCGUCACACCAUGAGAGUUUGUAACACCCAAAGCCGGUGAGAUAACCUUCGGGAGUCAGCCGUCUAAGGUGGGACAGAUGAUUAGGGUGAAGUCGUAACAAGGUAACCAAGGGCGAAUCG
This 866-nucleotide ribosomal RNA is filed under the name uncultured Lactobacillus sp. RNAcentral's name for it is "bacterial SSU rRNA". It matches the Rfam family "Bacterial small subunit ribosomal RNA", at positions 646 to 1513 of the family's 1533-position model. Lineage: Bacteria; Bacillati; Bacillota; Bacilli; Lactobacillales; Lactobacillaceae. The record is from RNAcentral.